This 478-nucleotide ribosomal RNA is filed under the name uncultured bacterium. RNAcentral describes it as "partial 16S ribosomal RNA". It matches the Rfam family "Bacterial small subunit ribosomal RNA", at positions 28 to 523 of the family's 1533-position model. The record is from RNAcentral.
GACGAACGCUGGCGGCGUGCUUAACACAUGCAAGUCGAACGGUAAGGCCCUUCGGGGUACACGAGUGGCGAACGGGUGAGUAACACGUGGGUGAUCUGCCCUGCACUUCGGGAUAAGCCUGGGAAACUGGGUCUAAUACCGGAUAGGACCCUGGGAUGCAUGUCCUGGGGUGGAAAGCUUUUGCGGUGUGGGAUGGGCCCGCGGCCUAUGAGCUUGUUGGUGGGGUGAUGGCCUACCAAGGCGACGACGGGUAGCCGGCCUGAGAGGGUGACCGGCCACACUGGGACUGAGAGACGGCCCAGACUCCUGCGGGAGGCAGCAGUGGGGAAUAUUGCACAAUGGGCGCAAGCCUGAUGCAGCGACGCCGCGUGAGGGAUGACGGCCUUCGGGUUGUAAACCUCUUUCAGCACCGACGAAGCACAAGUGACGGUAGGUGCAGAAGAAGGACCGGCCGACUACGUGCCAGCCGCCGCGGUAA